This 885-nucleotide ribosomal RNA is filed under the name uncultured bacterium. Its description in RNAcentral is "bacterial SSU rRNA". It matches the Rfam family "Bacterial small subunit ribosomal RNA", at positions 531 to 1413 of the family's 1533-position model. The record is from RNAcentral.
GGGGCGAGCGUUGUCCGGAUUUAUUGGGCGUAAAGAGCUCGUAGGCGGCUCAACAAGUCGGCCGUGAAAGCCCGAGGCUCAACCUCGGGAUGCCGGUCGAAACUGUUGUGGCUAGGGUCCGGUAGAGGAGAGUGGAAUUCCCGGUGUAGCGGUGAAAUGCGCAGAUAUCGGGAGGAACACCAGUAGCGAAGGCGGCUCUCUGGGCCGGCACCGACGCUGAGGAGCGAAAGCUAGGGGAGCAAACAGGAUUAGAUACCCUGGUAGUCCUAGCCGUAAACGUUGGGUACUAGGUGUGGCGGAUUCAUUGACAUCUGCCGUGCCGAAGCUAACGCAUUAAGUACCCCGCCUGGGGAGUACGGUCGCAAGGCUAAAACUCAAAGGAAUUGACGGGAGCCCGCACAAGCGGCGGAGCAUGCGGCUUAAUUCGAUGGUACCCGAAGAACCUUACCUGGACUUGACAUAAUGGGAAAAACCCUAGAAAUAGGGUGUGCGUAAGCGUCCAUUACAGGUGGUGCAUGGCUGUCGUCAGCUCGUGUCGUGAGAUGUUGGGUUAAGUCCCGCAACGAGCGCAACCCCUGUCCUAUGUUGCCAGCGGAUAAUGCCGGGGACUCAUGGGAGACUGCCGGGGACAACUCGGAGGUAGGCGGGGACGACGUCAAGUCAUCAUGCCCCUUAUGUCCAGGGCUGCACGCAUGCUACAAUGGCAGGUACAGAGGGCAGCGAUCCCGCGAGGGUGAGCGAAUCCCUCAAAGCCUGUCUCAGUUCGGAUCGGAGUCUGCAACUCGACUCCGUGAAGCCGGAGUCGCUAGUAAUCGCGAAUCAUCAAAGUCGCGGUGAAUACGUUCUCGGGCUUUGUACACACCGCCCGUCACAUCACGAAAGUUG